RNAcentral lists this transfer RNA (83 nucleotides) under bacterium. RNAcentral describes it as "tRNA-Leu". The stretch from base 5 to 73 matches the Rfam family "tRNA", at positions 7 to 64 of the family's 71-position model. Rfam says of the family: Transfer RNA (tRNA) molecules are approximately 80 nucleotides in length. Their secondary structure includes four short double-helical elements and three loops (D, anti-codon, and T loops). The record is from RNAcentral.
GGCGGUGGCGGAACUGGCAGACGCACACGACUCAAAAUCGUGCGGAGAAAUCCUUGAGGGUUCAACUCCCUCCUCCGGCACCA